This 253-nucleotide ribosomal RNA is filed under the name uncultured bacterium. RNAcentral describes it as "partial 16S ribosomal RNA". It matches the Rfam family "Bacterial small subunit ribosomal RNA", at positions 524 to 776 of the family's 1533-position model. The record is from RNAcentral.
UACGAAGGGGGCUAGCGUUGCUCGGAAUUACUGGGCGUAAAGGGAGCGUAGGCGGGUUAUCAAGUUGGGGGUGAAAGCCCGGGGCUCAACCUCGGAAUUGCCUUCAAAACUGGUAGCCUAGAGUAUGAUAGAGGUAUGUGGAACUCCGAGUGUAGAGGUGAAAUUCGUAGAUAUUCGGAAGAACACCAGUGGCGAAGGCGGCUUACUGGACCGGCAUUGACGCUGAGGCGCGAAAGCGUGGGUAGCAAACAGG